GGAGCUACUCAGGUGGCUGCUCGCCUUAGGCGGGAGGAAAGUCCGGGCUCCAGAGGGCAAGGUGGUCGCUAACGGCGACGCAGGGUGACCUGACGGAAAGUGCCACAGAAAAUAUACCGCACUUGACAUCUCUGAUGUUAAGGGUAAGGGUGAAAAGGCGAGGUAAGAGCUCACCGCCUGCCGGAGUGAUCUGGCAGGGCAUGGUAAACCCCACCUGGAGCAAGGCCAAAUAAGGGGGAAGGAAUUGCCCGUUCCGUCUGACCCCCGGGUAGGCUGCUUGAUUCAUCAGAGCAAUCUGAUGAACAGAUAAAUAGUCACCACUAUACAGAACCCGGCUUAUGAGUAGCUCCAUCA
Molecule: RNase P RNA, 354 nt
Filed under: candidate division NPL-UPA2 bacterium Unc8
Lineage: Bacteria
Description: RNase P RNA component class A
Rfam family: Bacterial RNase P class A
About the family: Ribonuclease P (RNase P) is a ubiquitous endoribonuclease, found in archaea, bacteria and eukarya as well as chloroplasts and mitochondria. Its best characterised activity is the generation of mature 5'-ends of tRNAs by cleaving the 5'-leader elements of precursor-tRNAs. Cellular RNase Ps are ribonucleoproteins.
Source: RNAcentral